RNAcentral lists this unclassified non-coding RNA (887 nucleotides) under Orussus abietinus. RNAcentral describes it as "uPF0587 protein C1orf123 homolog, transcript variant X1". Lineage: Eukaryota; Metazoa; Arthropoda; Insecta; Hymenoptera; Orussidae. The record is from RNAcentral.
GCACAGGAUGCGAUCGCACGAUCCUGCCCGUGAGCAAUCUCCCAACUCAUCUCUGUCUGAACGCACCCAACGAAAGAAUGUAAAAUUUAACCUCCUAUCAGUUGAUUACCGUUAACAAACCCAAGUGACAAGAGAACCUGGUUUUGAGGAAAUUAGAAGGAAGUAAUUGCAUUGGGAGUAAAGGAAAAGGAAAACAAUGGUUAAAAUAGUAGUUCAAAUUAAGGCAACUUUGGAGAAUAUAGAAGAACUCAGACCCUCUGGCCCAGACUUCCAGUGGUAUUUUAAAUUCAGUUGUUCCAACUGCGGAGAGGUGUCGGAGAAGUGGAACUACGUGUCUCUGACGGUAUCAGUUCCUGCACAGCGGGGAACUGCCGUUAACCAUUUUGUGAGCAAAUGUAAACUAUGUGCGCGGGAGAAUUCCAUGAGUAUUAUCGAGGAUUCUAUCAAGAGUUACUUGAAUGACGAUCAAGAGAAAUUUAAAACAAUUGUAACGCUCGACUGCCGAGGGAUAGAGCCCUGUGACUUUUCUGCGAGAGAAGGGUGGGUGGCGAAAGCUAUCGACAAUGGAACCGAGUUCACGGAGGUAGAUUUAAGCGAGAAUCAGUGGGCCGAUUACUGUGAUAAAAUUAAACAACCCGUCGGAAUUUAUCAAAUAGAACAUAAGUUCCAGAGAGUCAAGUAAAGGAUAAUAUGAGAGGAAAUACGUCGACAUCGAAGCAGGCAAAAACCGACAGAGACCCUGAACGACGACAAAGGAAAAAGUACGAUCCGACGCAACUCGAAUCGUACCCGUGUCAUCGGUAGCCGUGUCUCCGUCGGAAUUUCUCAGCAUCGCGCGCCGUUCCCCCAAAGUCUUCUGUAUCCUCCCAUAAGUGGCACUGCCGGCG